AUUUGUACCCUUGAAAGGGCCAGCUGCUAAAACAAGAGAAUGAAUAUAACUAUGACCCACCCAACUUCUCUCUCAUUAAAACCCUCAUUCUCUCUCAUAAAAACUGCCUUCUCUCUCAUAAAAACCUUCCACUCUCAUGUUAAAAAUCAAAUAUCUCGCUGAACUUCACUCAACCCUCGGCUCCAUGCUCGCUGAACUUCACUCAACCCUAAUAUUUGGUACUUCAUUGAAGUAAUAAGGAACCCUAAUUUCAUGCUACACUCGAUUAAAGUCAUUUUCUGGAUCCUCUCUUCUCGAUUGAAGUUGACCCAGCCGUAUCUGAAUUCUCCAUUGAAGCGGACAAGUGGUCCGACAAGACACUCAUCGAAGGAAGGGUGGACAGAGAAAGAGGUGGAACAACCAUCUUGACCCUGUGAUAAAGAAAGAUGCAUUGACAGAGGAGGAAGAAUCACUUCUUACUUGCUAUCACCAGAGAAAGUGGGCAGAAAUAACAUGAUUUCUUCUUGGAAGGAAAACGUAUGGCUAAUGUAGUUGAUUUGAGUCGUUGCUUCUCAUAAAUGUUGUCACUCCAGGAAGAUGUCGCUGCUAUUUUUUUAUUUUUUUUUUUUGUUGGGUAGAUUGGCAGCCUUGUAAUUUUUAUAAAUUUGUAUAUAAUGUAUACAGUAUAACACAAUUUCGUUACAAUAGUAACUUUUAUAAGUAUAUGAUAUA
Long non-coding RNA from Chenopodium quinoa (quinoa), 711 nucleotides. RefSeq lists it as uncharacterized. The record is from RefSeq and is a predicted model, not a curated record. Lineage: Eukaryota; Viridiplantae; Streptophyta; Magnoliopsida; Caryophyllales; Amaranthaceae. The transcript has 4 exons.